AAGGUGGAUUUGUGAGUAAUUUUAUUGUAAAAUUGUUGAGUGAAAAGUGGAAUAACAUGUGUACAUAUUGCCCGUCGCUCUCUUAGUUUUGAGAUAAGUCGUAACAUAGUUGGUGCACUGGAAAGUGUAUCUUUUUGA
This 138-nucleotide ribosomal RNA is filed under the name Dicellarius bimaculatus bimaculatus. Its description in RNAcentral is "partial small subunit ribosomal RNA". Lineage: Eukaryota; Metazoa; Arthropoda; Diplopoda; Polydesmida; Xystodesmidae. The record is from RNAcentral.